This 274-nucleotide ribosomal RNA is filed under the name uncultured bacterium. Its description in RNAcentral is "partial 16S ribosomal RNA". It matches the Rfam family "Bacterial small subunit ribosomal RNA", at positions 523 to 796 of the family's 1533-position model. The record is from RNAcentral.
AUACGGAGGGGGCUAGCGUUGUUCGGAAUUACUGGGCGUAAAGCGCGCGUAGGCGGCAUGUCAAGUUGGGUGUGAAAGCCCGGGGCUCAACCCCGGAAUUGCAUUCAAAACUGGCAAGCUAGAGACCGAGAGAGGUGAGUGGAAUUUCCAGUGUAGAGGUGAAAUUCGUAGAUAUUGGAAAGAACACCAGUGGCGAAGGCGGCUCACUGGCUCGGUACUGACGCUGAGGUGCGAAAGCGUGGGUAGCAAACAGGAUUAGAAACCCGGGUAGUCC